Long non-coding RNA from Lycium barbarum (goji berry), 991 nucleotides. RefSeq lists it as uncharacterized. The record is from RefSeq and is a predicted model, not a curated record. NCBI's taxonomy places the organism in Eukaryota, Viridiplantae, Streptophyta, Magnoliopsida, Solanales, Solanaceae. The transcript is spliced from 2 exons.
ACUUUCUUUUUAUUUUUCUCCUUCUCUUUCUCUCUCCUUAAUUCCUCCUCCCUCUCCUUUCUACGCAGCCCACCACCCCACCUCCUUAUAUGCUCAACGCCCGCACGCCACCGCCGUUUCCGACCAGCAGUCGAAAAUCUCAACCAGACGCCAUCGCCGUUUUCGACAAGCUCAGAUUACGAGUGCUGGAUCUCAACAGGGAGAGGCAAUGGAAAUUUUGAGGAAGAAAAGAGAUAAGUUCUCUGGUUUUUCCUAUGAGGAAACUGUUCAGGUAAAAGGAAAGGGAGUUCUCAUACGUGGUUUAAGGCUUCCAUUCUCCUUCCGUUCCAUUGUUGAGAAGCUUUUUCUUUCUCUUCAAAUUCGUGCUACUUGUGGAAUUCCAGUCUCUUUGGCAGGUUGGUGUUGUGAGGAAAGAAGAUCUCUUCUUUAGAGUGUUAAACUACCGAGGAAAUUGAUGAGCACUUUGUUGCUAUUCAAGAAGAAGGAAGUGCCACUGCUAUAUUAUUUUCAUUCUUGAUCAAAAUUAAAUUGGUCUGGAUGCCACCUUUAUACCCAUCGGCCCUUGAAAGCAUAGAUGCUACUGAUGAUGGCACAGUUGAUCCUAAGGAGUAUGAAGCUAUGAAGCAUCAAGUUGCUCAGCUAACAAGAACACUUAAUUCCUCGGAGGCUAGGAUGUUGGGUAUGCAAGCCCAAAUUAAUAGUUUAUGAUGGAUAUGUUUAAAUGAAUAUGUAUAUUAUCUUUAAGGGUUUGAAUGUAGUUUUAGUUCGAAUUAGAAGUACUUUUAAGUUUAUAAUGUUUAAGUGUUUGAAUGAUGUUUAUGAUGUUUAAGUGUUUGAAUGAUGUUUAUGAUGUUUAAGUGUUUGAAUGUAGUUUAUGAUGUUUAAGUGUUUGAAUGUAGUUUUAAUUUUAAGUACUUUGAGGUUGAAUUUGAUUGUUUAUAAGUGUUUGAAUGGACAAUGUUUAAGUGUUCAAGUGUUUGAACAUUGUUUA